UGUUUUCGGGAGGAACACCGGAUUGGGUCGCGGGAGGUAAAGCCGGAGGUUCAGACGGGCUCUCCGGAGGAGGUUCAGACGGGCUCUCCGGCGGUGGUUCAGACGGGCUCUCCGGAGGAGGUUCAGACGGGCUCUCCGGAGGAGGUUCAGACGGGCUCUCCGGCGGAGGUUCAGACUGGCUCUCCGGAGGAGGUUCAGACGGGCUCUCCGGAGGAGGUUCAGACGGGCUCUCCGGCGGAGGUUCAGAAGGCGGAGGUUCAGACGGGCUCUCCGGCGGAGAUUCAACUGGUGCCUCCGCCGGUGACGACAUAGCAAAACGAUAAAAGCUACAGAGAAAGUUUAGAGAAGAAGAUAAGGCUGCAAAUGAAAGAUGGAG
This 376-nucleotide long non-coding RNA is filed under the name Fragaria vesca (wild strawberry). RNAcentral describes it as "long non-coding RNA (FVES_LNC002905)". Lineage: Eukaryota; Viridiplantae; Streptophyta; Magnoliopsida; Rosales; Rosaceae. The record is from RNAcentral.